AUGGUUAAGUUAGAAAGGGCGCACGGUGAAUGCCUUGGCACUAGGAGCCGAUGAAGGACGGGACUAACACCGAUAUGCUUCGGGGAGCUGUAAGUGAGCUUUGAUCCGGAGAUUUCCGAAUGGGGAAACCCACUGUUCGUAAUGGAACAGUAUCUUUAUCUGAAUACAUAGGAUAUUGAAGGCAGACCCGGGGAACUGAAACAUCUAAGUACCCGGAGGAAGAGAAAGCAAAUGCGAUUUCCUGAGUAGCGGCGAGCGAAACGGAAUUAGCCCAAACCAAGAGGCUUGCCUCUUGGGGUUGUAGGACACUCUAUACGGAGUUACAAAGGAACGAAGUAAAUGAAGCGACCUGGAAAGGUCCGUCGAAGAAGGUAACAACCCUGUAGUUGAAACUUCGUUCCCUCUUGAGUGGAUCCUGAGUACGGCGGAACACGUGAAAUUCCGUCGGAAGCUGGGAGGACCAUCUCCCAAGGCUAAAUACUACCUAGUGACCGAUAGUGAACCAGUACCGUGAGGGAAAGGUGAAAAGCACCCCGGAAGGGGGAGUGAAAGAGAUCCUGGAACCGUGUGCCUACAAGUAGUCAGAGCCCGUUAACGGGUGAUGGCGUGCCUUUUGUAGAAUGAACCGGCGAGUUACGAUCCCAUGCAAGGUUAAGCUGAUAAGGCGGAGCCGUAGCGAAAGCGAGUCUGAAUAGGGCGUUUAGUAUGUGGUUGUAGACCCGAAACCAGGUGAUCUACCCAUGUCCAGGGUGAAGUUCAGGUAACACUGAAUGGAGGCCCGAACCCACGCACGUUGAAAAGUGCGGGGAUGAGGUGUGGGUAGCGGAGAAAUUCCAAUCGAACCUGGAGAUAGCUGGUUCUCUCCGAAAUAGCUUUAGGGCUAGCCUCAUGUUGUGAGAGUCUUGGAGGUAGAGCACUGAUUGGACUAGGGGCCCCCAACGGGUUACCGAAUUCAGUCAAACUCCGAAUGCCAAAGACUUAUCCAUGGGAGUCAGACUGCGAGUGAUAAGAUCCGUAGUCAAAAGGGAAACAGCCCAGACCACCAGCUAAGGUCCCCAAGUAUACGUUAAGUGGAAAAGGAUGUGGAGUUGCUUAGACAACCAGGAUGUUGGCUUAGAAGCAGCCACCAUUUAAAGAGUGCGUAAUAGCUCACUGGUCGAGUGACUCUGCGCCGAAAAUGUACCGGGGCUAAACGUAUCACCGAAGCUGUGGAUUGACAUCUUUGAUGUCAGUGGUAGGAGAGCGUUCUAAGUGCUGUGAAGUCAGACCGUAAGGACUGGUGGAGCGCUUAGAAGUGAGAAUGCCGGUAUGAGUAGCGAAAGACAAGUGAGAAUCUUGUCCACCGAAUGCCUAAGGUUUCCUGAGGAAGGCUCGUCCGCUCAGGGUUAGUCGGGACCUAAGCCGAGGCUGAAAAGCGUAGGCGAUGGCCAACAGGUUGAUAUUCCUGUACCACCUCCCCGCCGUUUGAGUAAUGGGGGGACGCAGUAGGAUAGGGUAAGCGCGCUGCUGGAUAUGCGCGUUCAAGCAGUUAGGCUGAUGAGUAGGCAAAUCCGCUCAUCAUGAAGGCUGAGCUGUGAUGACGAGGGAAUUAUAGUACCGAAGUUCCUGAUUCCACACUGCCAAGAAAAGCCUCUAGCGAGGCGGGAGGUGCCCGUACCGCAAACCGACACAGGUAGGCGAGGAGAGAAUCCUAAGGUGAUCGAGAGAACUCUCGUUAAGGAACUCGGCAAAAUGACCCCGUAACUUCGGGAGAAGGGGUGCUCUGGUAGGGUGUAUAGCCCGAGAGAGCCGCAGUGAAUAGGCCCAGGCGACUGUUUAGCAAAAACACAGGUCUCUGCGAAGCCGCAAGGCGAAGUAUAGGGGCUGACGCCUGCCCGGUGCUGGAAGGUUAAGAGGAGGGGUUAUCCUUUGGGAGAAGCUCUGAAUCGAAGCCCCAGUAAACGGCGGCCGUAACUAUAACGGUCCUAAGGUAGCGAAAUUCCUUGUCGGGUAAGUUCCGACCCGCACGAAAGGCGUAACGAUCUGGGCACUGUCUCAACGAGAGACUCGGUGAAAUUAUAGUACCUGUGAAGAUGCAGGUUACCCGCGACAGGACGGAAAGACCCCGUGGAGCUUUACUGUAGCCUGAUAUUGAAUUUUGGUACAGCUUGUACAGGAUAGGUAGGAGCCUGAGAAGCCGGAGCGCUAGCUUCGGUGGAGGCGUCGGUGGGAUACUACCCUGGCUGUAUCGAAAUUCUAACCCGCGGCCCUGAUCGGGCCGGGAGACAGUGUCAGGUGGGCAGGUUGACUGGGGCGGUCGCCUCCUAAAAUGUAACGGAGGCGCCCAAAGGUUCCCUCAGAAUGGUUGGAAAUCAUUCGUAGAGUGUAAAGGCACAAGGGAGCUUGACUGCGAGACCUACAAGUCGAGCAGGGACGAAAGUCGGGCUUAGUGAUCCGGUGGUUCCGCAUGGAAGGGCCAUCGCUCAACGGAUAAAAGCUACCCCGGGGAUAACAGGCUUAUCUCCCCCAAGAGUCCACAUCGACGGGGAGGUUUGGCACCUCGAUGUCGGCUCAUCGCAUCCUGGGGCUGUAGUCGGUCCCAAGGGUUGGGCUGUUCGCCCAUUAAAGCGGUACGCGAGCUGGGUUCAGAACGUCGUGAGACAGUUCGGUCCCUAUCCGUCGUGGGCGUAGGAAAUUUGAGAGGAGCUGUCCUUAGUACGAGAGGACCGGGAUGGACACACCGCUGGUGUACCAGUUGUCUUGCCAAAGGCAUCGCUGGGUAGCUAUGUGUGGACGGGAUAAGUGCUGAAAGCAUCUAAGCAUGAAGCCCCCCUCAAGAUGAGAUUUCCCAUAGCGCAAGCUAGUAAGAUCCCUGAAAGAUGAUCAGGUUGAUAGGUCAGAGGUGGAAGCGUGGCGACAUGUGUAGCUGACUGAUACUAAUCGAUCGAGGACUUAACCAAAC
RNAcentral lists this ribosomal RNA (2941 nucleotides) under Priestia megaterium NBRC 15308 = ATCC 14581. Its description in RNAcentral is "Bacillus megaterium NBRC 15308 = ATCC 14581 23S ribosomal RNA". It matches the Rfam family "Bacterial large subunit ribosomal RNA". The record is from RNAcentral. Lineage: Bacteria; Bacillati; Bacillota; Bacilli; Caryophanales; Bacillaceae.